GACGAACGCUGGCGGCGUGCUUAACACAUGCAAGUCGAACGGAAAGGCCCUGCUUUUGUGGGGUGCUCGAGUGGCGAACGGGUGAGUAACACGUGAGUAACCUGCCCUUGACUUUGGGAUAACUUCAGGAAACUGGGGCUAAUACCGGAUAGGAGCUCCUGCUGCAUGGUGGGGGUUGGAAAGUUUCGGCGGUUGGGGAUGGACUCGCGGCUUAUCAGCUUGUUGGUGGGGUAGUGGCUUACCAAGGCUUUGACGGGUAGCCGGCCUGAGAGGGUGACCGGCCACAUUGGGACUGAGAUAGGGCCCAGACUCCUACGGGAGGCAGCAGUGGGGAAUAUUGCACAAUGGGCGGAAGCCUGAUGCAGCAACGCCGCGGGCGGAAUGACGGCCUUCGGGUUGUAAACCGCUUUCGCCUGUGACGAAGCGUGAGUGACGGUAAUGGGUAAAGAAGCACCGGCUAACUACGUG
This 468-nucleotide ribosomal RNA is filed under the name uncultured bacterium. RNAcentral's name for it is "partial 16S ribosomal RNA". It matches the Rfam family "Bacterial small subunit ribosomal RNA", at positions 28 to 507 of the family's 1533-position model. The record is from RNAcentral.